RNAcentral lists this ribosomal RNA (537 nucleotides) under Mystilus sp. 2 JK-2017. Its description in RNAcentral is "partial small subunit ribosomal RNA". It matches the Rfam family "Bacterial large subunit ribosomal RNA", at positions 1805 to 2616 of the family's 2925-position model. Lineage: Eukaryota; Metazoa; Arthropoda; Insecta; Hemiptera; Miridae. The record is from RNAcentral.
UUUUUAAAACAUGGUUUUUUGUUUAUAUAAAAGAUCUGGCCUGCCCCAUGAUAUAAUUAAAUGGCUGCAGUAUUUUGACUGUACAAAGGUAGCAUAAUCAUUUGUUUCUUAAUUGGAGACUGGUAUGAAUGGUUGGAUGAAAAAUUAACUUUCUUAUUUUUAUAAAAUGAAAUUAAUUUUUGUGUUAAAAAGCACAAAUGAUUGCGAAGGACGAGAAGACCCUAUAGAAUUUUAUUUAUUUAUUUGUACCUUUUUUGUGGUUUAUUGAAAAAGGUAUCUUUAAAAAAAUUAUGUUGGGGUGACAGAAAAAAUAUCAUAACUUUUUUUUAAUAUAUCAUAUAUGCAUGAAAAUAUGACCCUGUAUUAUGGGUUAUAAGAUUAAAUUACCUUAGGGAUAACAGCGUUAUUUUUUUGGAGAGUACUUAUCGAUAAAAAAGUUUGCGACCUCGAUGUUGGAUUAAAAUAAGAAGCAGGGGUAGAAUAUUGCUUUUCUAGGUCUGUUCGACCUAUAAAUUUUUACAUGAUCUAAUUUCCAAC